AGAGUUUGAUUAUGGCUCAGGAUGAGCGCUAGCGAUAGGCCUAACACAUGCAAGUCGAGGGGCAGCACAUGAAGUAGCAAUACGGAUGGUGGCGACCGGCGCACGGGUGAGUAACGCGUAUGCAACCUGCCUACAACAGGGGAAUAACCCGUUGAAAGACGGACUAAUACCCCAUAACACAGGGAUCCCGCAUGGGAAUAUUUGUUAAAGAUUUAUCGGUUGUAGAUGGGCAUGCGUUCCAUUAGCUUGUUGGUGAGGUAACGGCUCACCAAGGCAACGAUGGAUAGGGGAACUGAGAGGUUUAUCCCCCACACUGGUACUGAGACACGGACCAGACUCCUACGGGAGGCAGCAGUGAGGAAUAUUGGUCAAUGGACGCAAGUCUGAACCAGCCACGUCGCGUGAAGGAAGACGGCCCUACGGGUUGUAAACUUCUUUUGUAAGGGAGUAAAGUGUAGUACGUGUACUAUUUUGCAUGUACCUUACGAAUAAGGAUCGGCUAACUCCGUGCCAGCAGCCGCGGUAAUACGGAGGAUCCGAGCGUUAUCCGGAUUUAUUGGGUUUAAAGGGUGCGCAGGCGGGAGAUUAAGUCGGCGGUGAAAUUUUGCAGCUCAACUGUAAAAGUGCCUUCGAAACUGGUUUCCUUGAGUGUGGAUGAAGUAGGCGGAAUUUGUGGUGUAGCGGUGAAAUGCAUAGAUAUCACGAGGAACUCCGAUUGCGCAGGCAGCUUACUAAACCAUAACUGACGCUCAGGCACGAAGGCGUGGGGAUCAAACAGGAUUAGAUACCCUGGUAGUC
RNAcentral lists this ribosomal RNA (798 nucleotides) under uncultured Porphyromonadaceae bacterium. RNAcentral describes it as "bacterial SSU rRNA". It matches the Rfam family "Bacterial small subunit ribosomal RNA", at positions 8 to 795 of the family's 1533-position model. Lineage: Bacteria; Pseudomonadati; Bacteroidota; Bacteroidia; Bacteroidales; Porphyromonadaceae. The record is from RNAcentral.